Molecule: long non-coding RNA, 19230 nt
Organism: Motacilla alba alba
Lineage: Eukaryota; Metazoa; Chordata; Aves; Passeriformes; Motacillidae
Exons: 3
Source: RefSeq, a predicted model, not a curated record
AGGGACUUUUCCAUCUUUUGGGGUCACCACAAUCCGGGACGUGAAACCCCACAUCUAGCGUCCCUGGGUGGGCAGGAAGACCCAAAAUCUGGCGUCCCUGGGUGAGCAGGAGACCCCACAAAAUAUCACCAAGGAGCAGAAAAUGCCAAUUUUCUUGACCAUCUUACUGGUUUUUUACCAGACUCACUGAUCAUGUGCCACAGACCUUGUUGACUGUAUUUUCAAGAUCUAGCAUUUCCAGUAGGAGAUGCUGGACUUCUGUGGUCAUAAAAAAUGCCCAGAAAGUUAACACUGAGAAGGCAAUCCAUACCUUUUCUUCUGCCUGAUUUACACUUUCAAUAUAGUGGAGCUUUAGCAAUGUUAACACACUUAAAACUAUCUGCCUUCAUGAAGAUGUCUACACAUCUACAUUUCCAAGACAACUGAGCAGAAAGCAGGUGUCCACUUUUAGGUCAACCUAAUUGCUUCUCAGACUCCAUUGAUUACAAUAACUAAAUACUCAGCUCACAUACAGACAUCUAAAAGUGGACACUCAUAUUUAAAUGCUUUAAUUUAAUGCUGAACUUAAUGCAGAAAUCUAACCACGCAUAAAUUUAGUGUAGCCAGGGACACAGGAAUGUCUUGAGGGGUCACCUGAAGGCCUCUGCCUGUACAUUUGCAGCUCUGUGCAACAAGAGACAUUCUGCUUCAUAUCAAGCAGAAACGUUUUCAUUAGUUGAUUAAUUCCAUGUUGAGUAGUAAAUGAAGGUCAAUCCACAGCAAUGUUUCUUUGAUCCUGUGGGAACUGAUUUGUAAAAAAACUAGCCAUGGAAUAUCUACAUUGCGAUCUUGUUUUUUUCUUACAAAUCAAUUUUUGACAUGAUUUUCACAAUUAAUUUUCUAGCACAAAAGAGAAGUGCUUAGAACUGAGACUCCAAGGUACUUUGAAGACAGCAUGUUGCCUCCUCUAACUAUUAAUUUGCAGUGAAUCUAUAAUAAAUACCAUUUGCAAACUUAAAUGGAGUAUCAGAAAAAAAAUGCAGAAGGUGAUGUAAACAUUUAUUCUUGCAAGAUAGUGGAGCUGGAUAUGCUUGCCUAAUACUGCAGCAAAUGUAAGAAUCCAGCAGUUUCACUAAAGCGUGGUGGAUAGUAAACUAAGUCACUUCUUUCUUGCAGCAGGCCUAAAUAUAAGAUGGACUUCAGACCAGAUGAGAUAGUAUGACUUGUUUCAGUACUGGCUGAAAUGAGGAUUCUCUUAAUUUUUCACUCAGUGAUUAAAGACAGUAGACAUUUUAGAAACAAAUCUGUCAUUAAAAUGCUACUUUUCCUGUGGUAAAUCCAUAUUUAUUUAUACUACAUGCACUGCUCCUUGUAUACCUUUUAGAUUCCUGCCAUCUAUUCAUUUUCAGCUACUUUAAAGAAAGAAGUAAGUUGACUGGAGCAAUUUCAAACUCAAAAUGUCUUUUAAUCCUUACUCCACAAGACAAAUUAGAUUUGCAAGCAUCUAGACCUCAAAUCUAUUUGCUCUUUAAUAAUUUAAGCACUGAAAGGUCAAACAACUCUUUUCUGUUCCCCUUCAUCAAAGUCCAAGUGCUAAUGAAAAAUAACUAAAUCCUAUCUGCUGGCCAAUUUCCACACACUGCUGUUUCUCUGAUGUAAAUUAACACAUUAUGAGCACCUCGGUCAAUGGAAACCCGACAAAAUUUUACCAGUGAUACUUUUUACAUUUGUACAAACGAGAUCAUCUUGCUAAUGAAUUUUACAAAAUUACCCCAAUUACAAUUAUAAUCCAAAAGCUUUCUCUAGGUCUUACAAUUAGUAUUAUUUUCUUUAAUAUGUAACAGCUGGACUGCCUACUCUGAAACAGGUUCAAGCUCAGUGAAUUGAGCUAGUACCGUGCCACGACUCUACUAUUCCUCUUAUGUAUUAGUCAGAUUUCCAGCUUGUUUGAAGUUGAAUUAUUCCUUUUCUACACCUCUAUAUUUCAGAGAAUAAUGUCUUCUUACCUUUAAUCCAAAAAACAAGUUCUACACUACAGUGAAAUGUGCUAAAAGCGUAUUGGUUAUCGGCAGCAUUUAGAGUGAUUUUCCAGAAGCAAAGAAAUGUAAUUUAAAUAUAAUUCAUAUUACAUAGUUUUAUCAUAGAAUUUCAAUGCCUUGUAAAUUAAAUUCAAAAUUUAUUUUUAUAAAUAAAUAGUUCGCUAUUGCAUUGAGAAGGGAACACAUGGCAGUUAUUUUUAAACUAGGAUUCAAAUGCUUCAAAUUUGGAGAUUAAACAGGUGUAUGGGAAAAGAAAAAAGAUUAUAUUAUUUUUACACUGCUUUUUAUUCUAACAGUUCCAAACCAGUUCCAAAUUUAAAUGAUUAUGCAGAGACACAUAUCUGAACACAGUACUUUAACUUUUGUUAGAAAUUAAACAUAGCAGGUCUCUCAAAUAUUUAUUGAAUUUGGAUUGCUUAAAUUGGAAUGGUGUGUCAAUGUCUGAUAAAUACACUAAUUUUUUUUCAGAGCUGAAAAAGAGACAUGAAAGCAGAAAGAAAACGUAUUAGCACGGUAAUAAAAGAUGCUCAGAGUACUUACACAACUGACAAUUUCAAAGAAGACUUAAGUAUAUAUCUAGUCUGAACUACAUGAAAUUAUGCAUUUGGGUAAUCUCCUGAAUCGGGACAUUACUCCACAUCACUGGAAUGCUGUAAAUCAAAUUUUAACUAAUCAAAGUCUCAUUCAAAGUUACAGAAUAACUUUCCAAGAAGGAUCUAUUGGAUGCAAAUGUAGACUUCAGAAGUCUUCAUACAGGAGUAUGUAAAUGUACAUACUUAACACGUACAAUCUAGGCAUUUAUUGAAACUUCUUAAUCUAUAAUUACACCUAAUUCCAAAGUAAUUUCAAAUUGCAAACAAAGGGAAAACAAGCUUGAUUACUUCUUUAUUGAACUGUCAGCUCUAUUUUGUCUCUCUAAAACAGUCUUGAUGCUUUAUAUAACUGAAGCAUUAAAGAAAUUUUUAGAAUUAAUUCUAAAGAAGAAGAGGUGGCCUAAGGAACUGAAUAUAGACAAAGACUAUCUGAUUUUAUUUACUAAUCUUAAUAAAGCUGCUGUGUGUGAUCCUAGGCAAGUCCAUUAACUAUUAUGGGCCUAGAAAUCCAGUUGUAAAAUAAGAAUAAGAAACUUUCUUAUUCCUGCUUCAAGUGUUUAAAAUCUCUUUGAAUUCUUAUUAUCCUUGAAUUUUUUUUCCCCUAAGAAAUAUACAAAGCCUGAGAAGCUCUUAAGGUCCACUAGGAGUGCCCUAAUAAACUGUGUAAACUGUUGGGCUACCUUUGCAGACUGUCAUGGUAACACUCUUGAGCUUAAUUUGAAGUUUUCUCUGUUAUAGUUGUUCACUGUUAUAAGUUCAUGCUUUAUUAGAAAUAUAGAAACCCAGUACUUUUUAUAGAUCUAUUUCUGUAUUUUGACUGGCAUGCUUACUUUGUUUUAACACUUACAGAGUCAAACAACAGAAUAACCCUUAAUCUACAUAUUGACCAUUAUUUCAGUUAGUCAUUCCCACAGCCCUAUUAAUCUGCAUGCUAGAAUCACUUUACUGCAUUUUUCUACUAAAAUACCAGUUCCAGUAGAGAGCAAAAUCACAAAACCCAAACCCCACCCCAUUAUCACAGCUCUAAGUCCAUGAAGAACCUGAUUGCUCAAACCAUUAGAGUCCCCACAGUUUGUAGGGUGCCCACAGUUUCAGCAAAUCUUCUGUAGACCCUGAAAAUUCUUCAGUUGUACUGCCAUUAAGCCUUUUAAAAUGUAUCUGUUGUUUUGUUCAUGUUUUGUAUCUAAAACUUCAUAUGUCUUUGCUCGUCAUGCUUUAUGCAAGUUUAUGGCCUAAUAUUGCUUCUUGAAAAGAAUGCAGCCUUUGGACAGUUGUUUCUAUAAAAUAUGCAAUAUAACUUCAUCUCUGCCAUCAGCUGUCUCUGGUCAUAUCAUAUUUAUAUGGAUUAACACUGGAGAUAUAUAUCUAUUUCUUCAUGCCCUUAUACUGCACUAUAUUCUUGUAAUUCAUCCUGUAACUUCAAAUUUUACAGUUCUAGAAAUUAUAUGUAAUUAUACAAAUGUAAUGCACCUUGAAAUGGAAGAGGGAAAUUACUCUUUAAAGGACAGAAAUUAAUAAUUUAUGGUUAGCAGGCAAAUAGAAAAAGGCUACGAGAAAUUGCCACUAACUCCCCUCCUACUGUGCAAGAGCCUGUAUAUUUAUUAUGGGUGGAUUAAAACAAAGGUGAUGAACAACCCCUGAUUUAUCAGGUGUCUCACCAUCACAGCUGCGCAGGCUUUGCCAGUGGGUGAGGAGUUCUAGCAACACCUAAUACACAGUGAAUAAAAUAUACUCUGUGUGCAGUCAUUUCCAGAACAGAUCCAAUGCCAGAGAACCAGCUGAAUAGCAGUCCUGUCCUGCUGACCACUGUCCCUGUGACCACUUUGCAUAUUUUAUCAAAGGGGAAGCACACAUGGUUCAACUAUGGACUAGAGGUAAGACCAGGGAUUUUUUGAUUAGCAGCAGGACAAAUGAGUAUACCUACUAAUGAGAAAACUGUUUAAGUUAGAUGUCUCUAUUUCAGGGACGUUUUAUUUGGGGGAUCAGAGAUUUUCUGGGCUUUAUGCAAAAUACAGCAUCACUCACUACAGCUUCUAAAAAAAGGUGAAGAAGCUUAAAAAAAAUCCCUUGUAGGAACAUAAUGUUCAGACAUGAAAAUACAGAACUUAGAGUGAAGAAAAACAAGCAGACUAAGCAAAACCUCCAAAUUGAUGUUGCUGUACUAAUAACAAUGUCAACAAGUAUUUUUAAAGUCAUACAUUAAUAUGUAAUUUAUAUAGGGGGAAAAAAGUGAUUUAGGCAAUGCUGCAAAUAAUACUCACACAACACAUAAUCAUCAAAAUUCUUGCAAUGGCUCCCAUUUAAGCACUUGACGUACCAGUGUUAGAGGUGUAUUGCCUGUUUCUUUGGGCGAGCAAAGGGAAUCUUAGAUCCUUAGAGCUUUUUGGAGUGAAGGGAGUCUUAAACCCUUCUGACUUUUUGUUUGCAUCUUUACUUGAAGCUAGGAGGUUCCAUGUAAACAAAAGCUUCACAAUUCUUUGGCAGGUUUCUAACUCUGAGGAACAGUUGUUGCCUCACAAAUGUAGAAAAGGUGCUAAGUAAAUAAAAUACUUUGUGCUACCAGCUUGUUCAAACUUAAAUGGAAUGAUUCUACUUUCACACCUGCCUUUGUUUACUAGCUUUGCAGGUCAAGAGAUAAGUCUGGUUAGAUUCUCCAAGGCAGGGCCUGUUUUCAUUCUCAGGAAAUACUAUUACUGCACCUGAAAUUUCCAGCCCAUGGGGAAAAAAUAAAAUUCAAGGAAUCUUUUGGAAUCAGACCUGGCAUGAACACAAGAGAGACUAAUACUAUACAACACCUCCAUUGUCAUGCAAGGAGCCCUAUUUCUCAGAUCAAUCACAGCAGAAAUACCUAUACGGCUGUAAAGGAGGAGAUAAGACAGCUUAGGUUCAGUCCCUAGAGACAGUGCCAAAUGUAAACUCUCAGGUGUCAUAAUAAGCUUUAUCUUCACAGACCCAAGUCCACUGGGGAGCAGUAUCCGGUUUUUAAUGUAAAACUCCUAAGCUGCUUUGUGACUGCCCAACUCUUUUGUAUGGAUGGUCUCAAAGACUUAAAAGUCAGCAUUUACAAAGGAGAUUUUCUGGGGAAAAUACAUCCAAGCAAACCUCUCCUUAGCAUUCCUGUGGUUUUAUACAGGAAAUCUUGACAAUUUUUCAAAUGGAAAGCAUUAUGUCCCUGGAAGUUAAAGAUAUUUUGCUUGUUCUUUUCUCUAAGGACAGUCACUCGGGAAGGAUAUGACAACAGGUUCAAUUCCCUUGAGAAGGAAAACAUUUGCUACAUAGUAUCUCAAUUGCAGAAGAGACAGAUAGGCUCUGAAAAUGGUAAUUUAAUGGCCACCAUAAGUGGCCACCACACAUUCAAAUUCUUUUUUCCAGAUGCAGAAGAAAGAAUACAUUUCUCUUUUGCAAAUCUGGACUGCCUAGAAUUUAAGGGACACAUCAGAGCUUUGGCUCAGAAAACUGCACGAAGAAAAUCCGAAAGGAAAAGGAGACAGUGAUGCAGGCUCCUUCUCCUUUCCAGGGGCCAGAUGAGUGCCAUCUUCUCCUGAUGACACUGGGUGUUUAACUUUUUGCCUAUUUCCUAGAACAGAGAUGCAUUGUUUUAGAGAAUCUAAGCACACUUGUAAGGGGCAGAGAGUGUCCAGCAAAGAGUGUCCAUCUUCAGCCUUGUAAUUGCAGGGAACCAUAACACCAUUCAUGAAACCUUUCUGAAAUGUUUCUGCCUUUAGAUUCAGUCAUCACAAAUGACAAUCCAAAAUGCAGUUUUGUUUUGUUAGUAGAGAAGGGGAGAGAGAGAGUGAAAAAUCUUGCAAGAAAUUCAGUUUGUAAUACUUUGUUACUUAGCAGGACAAUAAAGAUUGCGGCAGUACAUCAUCUGUACUUGGUUUUACAACACAUAGCCUGCUGAUGGACUGCAAUUUUAACUUUGUCCCAUCCAUCCUUUGCAAAAAAUCAAUAAAUUCAAUACAUAUGCUAACCUACACUUGUUCAAAAGAAGUAUUAGUUUACUAUUGAAACAGCAUAUUAAAAUUUAUAAGACCCAUUUGCCCAACAAGUAUAUAAGUGGUGGUUAGACAUAACGCCAACAAUAAUUGUGGCACAAGAGACUGCUCUGCUGUUAUUGUGAACUGGCAAGGGAAUCAAAACUGCUCUCUCAACCCUCCCAACCCCCCUAAUCCUUGAUAAAUAUUGAUGAAACGGUAUUUUUUUCUCCCUGGUUAUACCACUGCAUGGUUAAUUAUUUGUAAUUAUUUAAAUACUGGUGCCCAACUAGGACUUGGCAGUGUUAUUACUGCACUGGCCUACGAGAGUGACUGUCAUAAUUACCACAGACAGGAUGACAAAAAUGACAGGAUGCAACUAUGUUUUCUCAACUGCUAUGUACAUUGCUACACCUGAAAUUCCUUAAUCAUCAGUUUUCCCCACCCCUACUCUCCCAGGGGCUGGAUACUGCCCUAUACUGAUAUGAUCCAUCUGAUGAGACACAAUGUCUUAGCAAUUCUGCAUACUUAGAAAUAACCAUGUAAUUCCACCUUUCUUUUUCUUCUACAAGGUAAUAUUUUGCAUAUUUUUGUUAUUUUGUAGAAGAAGUUUUUAAUUAUUGUUUCUUCUGCUGAAAAAAUUAAAUGUUCUAAAAUAUUGCAGGUCACAACCCCCCACUAUGAUCAGAAACAUACUUUUUCUGAAACACUUAAAACUUCCCUGUGUCUUGUACUCUCCAUACUUAAUAUAGAUUUAUGUAUUUGGCUGCUUUUUCUUCAAACUCAAAAAUGUCAAGAAAAUAUAUAAAGUUUGUACAUAGUCCGUAGACCUACACCACACAAAGUGAGUACAAAAUGUAAAUAUAAUUAAGCCUCAAAAGGAGUUCAAAGUAGUGUUCUACAGGUGUAAGUAACAUGACACAAGAGAGAAUCUGGCUCUAUAUUCUUAAUUUAUUUCAGCUAUUAAGUGCUGGACAAGAAAAGGACAUCUUUGACUACAGAGAUCCCCUAAUGUGCCCCAUACAGUAUCGAUGAGAUCAAUCUGCUAAAAACAGUUUGCAAGUGACAAACUAAGAGGGGAACCAGAGUCCUGGCAAUGUAUUUUGGUGGUGGUGGUUUUUUCCCCCUUGGGUGUUGUUGGGUUUUUUUUUUUUUGUUUGUUUGGCUGGGGGUUGUUUGGUUUUUUGUUUGUGGCUUUUUUGUUUGGUUUAAUUUGGUUUUUUUCACAAAAAAAAAGAAAUAUUGGAGACAAGUAAUUGUGCAUAUGAAAAGAGAAAGAAAGAGACAAAACAAAACUAGGAAAAGAUUGAAAUACUCAAGAAUACAAAAGCUUACACAUGGCAGGAAUGUAGAGAAGAAGAAAAUAACAGAUAAUGUACUGAAAACAGCUUGACAUGUAUCAUCCUGUUUGGUAAAUAAGAAGUGAAAAUAAAAAGUAGUGGUAGGAAGGAUAAAAUAAAAAUGAAGUCUAUCUAAUAUAGAUACACUUUAAACAAAGCAUUUUUAACAACUUUCACCCAGCUACUUUUUGUAAAUGACACACAGUGUUUGUAAAAGAUAUUUGAUUUCAUAGCUAUAUUAUAAAAUCAAAUACCUUUUACAAACAAAUUGUGCAUAAUUUAUAAAAUUAAUAUAUUUCAUAAUAGAGCUGAAAACAAUCUUAUUAUGUACUUUCUUAAGAUUGGGGGGGUGGUUGUUAUCCAAGAAUGACUGCCUACAAGAUCUCUUUACACUCACUGUGAUCUACUGAGCAUUUUUUUAAUUGCUGUACCAACUGACACUUGGCUUCUUCCAUAAAUAACUCUGGUAAAUGUAACCUUAUAAUCUUUCUGGUAGGUAUGUCACCAUUAACUUUCUGGCAACAAUAGAACAUCUCUGCUGACAGCUCUUUCAUGUUUAAGGGACAAAAAUAUCCCAUUUAUAUUGACCAGGUACUUGGUUUUUUAAAGACCAUUUGAAACAGACGAUGCAUCAAAGCCUCAUAAAUAGACUAAGACACUACAAGUUUUACUGCAAGAAAUCUGGAAGGCUGUAAUCCCAUUUCUAUUCCUCAUGUCAUCUGUGAUACCCAGCUCCCACCUUCAAUAUGCUCAGCUCCUUUUAGUAUCUCCCAAACACUGGCUGGAAAAGAGGAGACACAUGCUGUGGCUGCUUCUGAGCUCCAUCCUGGCUCGCUGGUAUGAGAAUUGUAGCUCUCUGCUGAUGGCCCACAAGAAAUGAACUAACUCAUACUCUAACAUAGCCUAACCCUUCAGAUGCCAAUCUGGGUCUUUCACAGAGAUGCCAAAGUAUGUGAGAAAUUCACUAUUUAUGCAACAUUCAAACUAUUGCUUGAAAAUUUCCAAGAGGUCCUCUAUUAAUGAGGGAAGGAAGGAACACACAGGCAGAUGAAUGGGAUGAUACUUAAGACUUGUUUUCUUAGGAAACCAGGAAAAAAGUCAGGUGUAAACUUUUAACUUAUUUAUGAGUCAGAAAGUUUAAUUCUAAUUUUGGACAUGUAAUAUAGCACACAGAAUACAAGGAGUACUCCCUUUCUUCAUUUUACCAGUGAAAAGUUUUAUUCCUAUUGAGUAAUGACUCAGUCCCUCUAGGAACCAGAUACUAUUGAUCUCACUCCACAUGGCUUUACGCUCUUAAUUUAAACCCAAGCAGCAAUAUCACUAACUUCAAUGAUGCUAGUCUAAACUGAACUAACCUAAAGCUUUAGAUCCUCCAGGGCUUUGAGACCGACUUCAUUACCAAGCAGUACAAAACAGGGAUGCCUCCUACUUUCUUUAUGCUCUUCUCACAACUUGCCUUUAAAAUGAAUGCAAACCACAGAGAGAUUGUGAAAUUAUUAAUUCCACAAAACAGUCCACAAAGCCUCGGAGACUAUUCUGAGAUAUUCUGAAUUUAAAAAAAAAAUUCUGAAUAAAAAAAAUAAAUUCAGAGAGUGAGUUAUACAUUCAGCAGCUUAUUACACCACUCCCCACCAUUGCCAAGUUGUUAAAAAUCAUAUAUAGGUAUCUUUUCCUCUUUUUCUUUGGAGUAUUUCCAUUUAUUUUAACUUUAGAUACAGGAAUGUAGAAAGCAUGCUAUAUUGACUUGCAGAAAGCUAAACAGAUGUCCCUACCCUCACCAGAAAUAAAACUGUGCUCUCAUCUGCAUCGAUCCCCAGGGCUUGAUUUCCUAGGCCAUCCUUCCCACCACAGCAAGGCUACGCUUUCCUGUAGCCAGAAACACACUGCAGUUCCUCUCCUGACCAUGUGAGGAGGCUUAGCUCUUCUUCAUCAUUGCAACAGAGCUCUCCCUUGGGGAAGAAGGGCCUACUCAUUCUCUAAGCGACUUUGUUGUGUCCAAACAACUAAAAAUAAUUUUAAAAGAAAGUUGCAGGUAUAGAUUUCAAGAGGUUAUUUCUGCUGUUAACAAACCACGAACAAACCGUUUCAAGUGCAGAGCUUGUUCUGUACUAUCCUGCUACUGAUCUGCUCUUAAUUUGAGUACUUUCUUCCAGUAAUCACCUACCCAAAGCAGUGAGGGAAGAAGGAAGAGUGUGAGAAAGAGAUGGGGAGAAAGAGGGAUGCAGAGGAAAAAAGGGAGAGACAGAGAGGGAGAGGCAGAGGGGGUGGGAGACUUCUGUGUAGAAUCCUGCCAAGAAGAGGAAUGCCAGUUAGUCACAAGUUAUGUGGGAAGUUUUUAUAAUGAAAACAACCCAUCAUCAAAGUUACCUAGGUUUAUGAAAUAUUUCUCUCCAAUCUUGUUUACAGAUAUUUAUAUGAUAAGACUUUAUCCAUCUUUCAAAAUUUGUAUUAAAAAAACCUUAUUUCCAUCAGAAUAGCUUAGAGGAACACCCACAAUCCCCUCGGUAUGCAGUGUAGCACAAAGAAAUCAUUUUGGUUUAUUCCAGUUUAAAGGACAAAUAGCAAAUCAACUUAGAUGUUCAUAUUUUUACAUUUGUCAUGCUGUGGAGGUGUUUGUGCUUAGCAGAGCUCAGAGGACAGUGUGUAACUCCUAGCACAAAGAGCGUAUGACCUAAACUGGUCUUGCUCAUAAAAUAUAAUAAUGAAAACAGUUAAUAGCUGGUCUUGCAAAGACCAUUUUUGUAGACGCCACACAUUUGAUAUAACAACACAACACUGAAUAUUUCAGUCUUGUAACUUUAAUUUCUCUUUGUCCUGGCUUGAUCAAGAUAAGAUCAGUUCUAAAUUGCUUUGGAAUAUUAGCUGGGUACCACAAAUUUAUUUUGUAUUCUCUCAACCAUAACUCAUUACACGGAACUUGCUUGGCAUCAAUAAGUCACUAUGGCUUUUGUGUGCCUAUGCGUGUGUGGGAGCGUGCGUGUGGCUCAGUACCCUGCUGCUAGGCUAUUUAGUGAUAAAAUCUGAUAUAAUAAAAUAUUAAUUACAGCUGAAAGGUUGGGUGAGAAAUAUGAACUCAAUUACAGUCCCACAUUGUGAACAAAGGGCACGGUGAAAAAAUCCUUUAGUUAUAGAUGUUUGGGAUAAUAAAAGAACAACUAGAACAUUAGACUCAAACUGAGAGCUCCCUAAAAGGCCACCUGUUAUUAAUCUUCUCAUCAGGCAUAGAAUUUCAAGUAAAUUAGGUCAAGAUAAAAGCCGUUUGCUGCUGAUUUUUUUACUUAACUAAUUUAAAGCUUUAUCUGAGUAUUUUUUCUUUGAUGUCACUGCAAUUUAGUAAUUAGAAAUUUGUAACAAGCACAAGGACACAGCAAUUGUAAUGAAACCUUAGAUAUCCUAUAUAGGAUGCAAAAUGAUCACCUUAUAUUGUGGCAAAAAUUAGCAGUUUAUUCUAGAAGUCUUCAUUUCAGUCAGAUUGCCAGUUUCUUAGAACUGUAAGCAGAUGUGGUUAUACAAUCUUAGAAAGCCUCUUUUUUGGUUUUUUUGCUUAAAAAAAAAACAAACCAGCAGGGAAUAUAAGUCAUUCUAAAACUUCUUAAUACAUACAUUUCUGUUCAUCUCUUUGAUUUACCCGAGUAUGAAGUCAUACGCAUUACCAAAGACUUGACAGAAUGUGACCAGAUUGCAAACAAGCACAACUGUGAUCCAAAGUUAGUCUAAAUAAAAUAAUAUAACCUUGAAAUCCAAUGCUUAGUUGUGAAUCAUAAGAACUAAGAAAUCUUAUCUAUUACUGCAGGCUAAAAUGUGCCAUUAGAUCAUAAAAUAAGAUUCUCAUUGUCUGAUGAACUGUGUUCUCUAUAAACGUUUUCUAUUUCAAGAAAUUUUGCUGAAACUAUGGCAAUAUAUUUUGGUACCAAGCCAGAAAACAGACUUCCAAUGAAUUUACAUUUAUGAUACUUGGAACAAUCCUAAGACCAUUUCAAAGCUUCUUAAUCAGCUUUAUGUUCUUUGCCUAAUUUCUUUUUAAAAAGAAGACAGAAAAACGAUAACUUCAUAAGUAUAAGAUAAAAGUAUCUUGGUGCAGCAAGCAAAGUGCUUUUAUAAGCCAAUAUUACACCAUUUAACUCACCAGUUUUCAGGUUGCCAAAGGCAAUUUACAGAACAACAGGAAAGCAUGGGAAAAGGAGUCACAGUUUAAAAUAGAUUAAAGAAAGCAAAACUGUCUGAAAUAAUUUAGUCUAAAAAAGAACGAAGUUAGAGGGGAUCUGAAGGAAAUAUUCAAAAUGGAAAGCCAUGUCAGGACUGACUGUUCCUUUCUUUUUAAUCUGUCACAGAGGAAGAAAAUGCUGAUGCACAAUGGUACUGCAGUACAGAUCAAUGAGGAAAUACAAAAGAAAAUUCCAGGAGUCUGAACACAUGCAAACCAAUAUGCAACAAUCUGCAAGAUCACACAGCCCAUCUUAUCAGAAUCAGGAGUAUCACUUCUGCAAGUGUAUGCCUAACUUUCUGAUACUCAAAGACAGCUGAAUGCUGCUUGAAAAUUGCUUAUGACUGGAAUGCAAAGAUUCAUUAGAACACACCUUCAGCACUGGCAAAGUUGUUGAUGGCACCCAAACCAUCACAUCACACCUGGUUCCAUCUUGGUAUGUGGGGCAGGGAGCAAAGGAGAAACAGACUAGGUAUUUUUCUUAUUACAAGAUAUGACAGAAUGCUGUUACCUUUUCUUCACAACUUAAGUAGAAAAUAGAUGUAGCAAGGUCUGAAUGACCAGUUUACUUGGAUUCUCAAGAAAAGAGGAAGGCCAAUUCUCACCUAAUAGAAGCAAUUAUACUUCUUCUAAGUCUAAAUGGGAUGAAUAUGUUAUGCCAUCUCCACUAAAUAGUUCUGAGAUUCAAGCAUCUUUUUUUUAAUAAAUACUAUAAUAUAUUGUUUUCAUUCUAUAGUCUUCAGGGUACCGGAUAUGAUACAAUAAAAUACUCUACUGGAGUUAAAAGACAUGGAGUAACACAAAAAAGCAGCAGUCUCCAUGCAAGAUUCUGCUCGAGUAAUCUCUACUUUCAAAGAAAUCCAGGGCCUCCUUCAAACAAGAUUUCUUCCUCAAUAGCCAUGAAGAAGAUCAAUAGCUACACAAAGUUAAAUUAGAAGAGCAAUGAAAAAAAUACCUUGAGAAAUGAUGUGAUGUCCUUAAGGAAUGGGAACAUGCCCUCAGAUCUAAGUCCAUGCAUAAAUGAUAAUGCUACACUAUUGCUCAGCCUCUCGUAUUCAACACUCAAUUUAUGCAUAUGUGCUUGUUAUAUGUGAUGCUGCCUCCUAGAGCAGUGGUUUUCAUUCUGUUCUCCACAAACUUGUAAAAAAUGCAGUUUGCAGAAGGUAAAAAAAGCCAUACAGCUUAGGGAUCUCAAAUCACAAUACUUAGAUCUGCAUGUACGCUGAAAGAUCGUCAGGGGUUUAUAAAUUUAAAAAGUAAUUUUAUUAAGAGAAACUGAUUAUAACGAUUACAAGUAAGUGAUAUUCUACUUCAAUGCUUUCUAGUAAACAACAGACUACUGCAAUGCUGUAACUAUGCCCUGGAGACUGUCCAUGAGGUGUGGACAGUCUGCAAAUGCACCAAUGCUCAUGGGCAUGACUAUGGCCAGUUGCACAGCUUUUAUUUAUAAAUGUGAAUUAACAUGCACAUGCAAAUUGAUCAUAUUACACAGAAAUUAAGAAGUAGAAUUUAGAGCAGGAGAUCUGCUAAUGGAUUAAUAACACUGUUAACACUAAAUAUAUCCUACAUCUUCUACAAAGCUGUGCACUGGAAAUUCACAACUGAAUUGAGCUGGGGAAUUAAGAAAGUAGAUACACUAAAAUAAGCAGUUUAUAAGUAGAGGGAGAAUGCUUAUUUUCUCCCUUUAUUCAAGGAUGCUUUGAAAUCUGCUGGUUUGUGUACAGCAUAAGAAGAAAAAUAUUUGCUGAGGCAGCUGACUGAAUACACAAGCCAAUUUCAACAUUUUUUUUUUGAUUCAAAGCUUGAAAACUGUUUACUGCUCAUUAAAGCACUCACAGAGGAUAUGAAGUUUUUCAUCUAUUCAGUGAGAGGAUUCAAAGUAGAGCAUGGAGAAACCAGCUCAAACAGAUCCACUACAGUAAUUUAAGAUGCUGUCUCAUUUGUCCAUUUUCUCCUGGCCAGAUGCUUUGUUUUCACGGGAAAAUUGGUGGGAAGCAGCACAUGCCUAUGCUUCAGUUGCAACUGCAGACCACAGUGUUAUCACUUAAGCACCCAAGGCACAGGCACAUUUUCUCCUGCCGGCUCUGCUGUAGGAGAGCAAGACCACAGCAAAAAUAACCACAACAGAAUUCUCGCCUCUCAAUGCUAUCAUCUCUUUCCACAACUUAAAUGCAGUGGGUUCCGGUCCAGCAAUUAGGAAAUGGAGAUUGCUGUGUUCAUUUUCAUCCUUUCUUUCCUACAAAAAAGCUCUGCAGGGCACUUUAAUCAGCAGUGCAAAACGAUGCAGGCAGACACAGAACACAAGUCAGUUUUUGUGGCAUCGUCCCCAGUUUUCAGGACUUCUGUGGAUAAAUACAAGGCUGACCUUCUAUUCUGUCAGUGAAGGUAUAACUCUUCCUCCUCCCUGCACUGGGAAUGACUCUGGUAGGAUUAGGUGGCACAGAAACCUUGGCAGCAUGACAUUGUACAGCUCUUCCCACAGGAAAUCUGGCUGUAGAUAAAAGAUUCUGCACAGUUCAGGAUUAGCACAACUGUUAAAUACAGAUGAGAUUUUGGCCUUGUGCUUCUACUUCCCUACGAGGUUAAUCUUGAAAACAGCUUCAACUCCAGAUGGGAGAAUGCAGUGAAUUCAUCUGUCCUCAUCUGAUUUCCCCAUGGAACUUUCUCCCUAAAUUCAACAUUUUUAUAAUGCCUUACACAUCUAUCCUACCACUCUCUGAUGCUGUUUUAGGCUGAGGCUUUUACACUUCUCCCGACUAAAGAGCUGCUGCUCUCAGUUGUAGGGCUCAGUAAGUGACUCUAAUGUUUCUUUGUGUCAUUUAAUGUAAUCCAGUUGAGCAGAUUAGCUUUUACUUAGCAAUGCUUUAGAGUCAUGAUGCUUGUUGCAAAUGCCAGUGAUUUCCUUUCCUACUUAAAUGAACAGUGUAACAGAAAGUUUACAUGUUAAUAUUCAGCAAAAUGAAUACUCCUUCAGCAUCAAGUGUGGGGAAUGACAGUGUUUCACCUGGAGUGCAUCUAUAGCUUUUCUUCCUCUUUCCAGGCAGCACUUCUCUUUAUCCUUUUGUUUCCUUUAACAUUACUUAGUAUAAAAUAAAAGCAUUUAUUUGAUUGCUUGCAAUGCAUGAUCAAAACACUUUAGUACAAAUGGUUCAAUGGUUUAGAAUUGUUCAAUCAAAAAUUUAUACUGAGAGCUAGGAAUUGCCCCAAAUUACUUUGUUCUGGAAACAAGAGUCCUCCUACUGUACAUUUAAGUAUUAGCAACUGAAUUCUUUUUAAUGCAGCCAUUUAAUGUUUGCUAGUGAAUAAAGGGCUCAUACAAACUUGCUCAAAAUGCAAAAUACUGAAGAAAAAUUUCUAAGGUCAACAGCAGUAUAGAAAUGCACCAUUGUCCAAGAAUCUGUAGAAAAGCCAAUUAAAGUGGUACUGAUUACUACCGUGUUGCAACCUAAAUUAUUAGAAAAAUCCCAUUGACUUUUUGCUCCUUGUCACUCAGACACCUUGACAAAAAUUUGUGCUCUUUUGGGGGGUUGUAAAGUUUGUGCUCUUUUGGGGGUUGUCACAUACAGAACACUGAAAAACAUACUUUUGGCGCCAUAGAGCUGAGUGAGUUUAACUAGCACCAGCUCCCUGACAGGUACAUAUACCUCUUUAAAUUCACCACUGCCUAGAGUUAUAUAUAUGGUCUCUAAACUAAAAUUGCUCUCCUUCCCCUCUGAAGUUAAUUCUUCUGAUGCAUUUUUAGAAAAUAACCACUUCUUCUCUUGGCCUUAACUGGCUAGUUAGAAAACAAGUGGAGCUCUCUUGGUUCCUCCAUAUAUAACACAGGUUUUCCAUGAUCAUUUAUGCCAAAACACUCCACUGUCGUAGUGCCAGUACAUUGGUAUUCCUUGGUAGAUCAGAACAAGGCAUAGGAGCUCACACGAGGUCCUGCCAGUGUCUUGUACAAUGAUGCAGAUAGCUUGUCACCUUUGCUGGAAAUCCCACCUGCUGAGUACAGUCUAUUCCCCUAUUUCACACCCAUGCUGUGUUCUGAUGAUUCACAGUCAUGCUGUGAGCCAUCCACACACACUUUCUUCUCCUCCAUUAUUUCCAAAAGAGAGCCUCUAUCUUACAACCUGAAUCCUUCUUAUUAGCUCAUAAAAGGCAAACUUUGCAUCUCAUCCUGAAGAUUAUUCAGUAUUUUCUGUGCAACAUUCCAAUCCAGUGCUGCAAGAAGGAUUACUGUCAAAUGGAUCAAAAUGUGUUAUAUUUUAGAUCUAUAAACAAAACAGGCACUGGGUCACUUCUCAGCUGAUAAUUCAGUAUGUCACUAUACAGCACAGUGAUCAUGCACAUGUAUCACAGUCUCUGCUUCAGAGCUCUUAUGAACCACUUCAAAAUACAUAUUUAAUUCAAAUACUUAUGAAAGAAAUGGAACUGAAUCUUGAGAAUCACAAAAAAUAGGAAGUACAUGGCAUAGCUAGAGAACAGAAAUAUUGAUGUUCAACACUUCCAAGGCUUCAGCACUAGCAGGGGCCAAGCAGCCAAGGCUUCCAGUACAACCUGCAAGCCUGACCUGAGCCCUCACUGAGUCUAACGGGUGAACGAAGACCAAAGGUGACACCAUACUUUUCACUUGGGACAUCUCCCUUUGGCAUCUAGAAUUCAAGAGGAAAAAUACUGAUGGGAUUCAAACCUUUGCAAAAACAAAGAAUUGAGGUAAGAUGAAAAGCUACUGUAAUUUCACAUGGACAAGGAAAUGGGAAGUGCACAUACAUAAUACACAUUAAGGUCAACAGAGAAGGCUCCCAGAGAGAACAAUGGGUUAUACAUGCCUGACAAUGCCUAACCACAGUUUUACAGGAAUUUAGAAUGGGACACUCAGCACUGUGGCUACAACUAACAUACAUGUGAUGCUGUCAGAAAAUUACUUUGAAAUGUCUCCACAAAGUACAUCAUCCCCACAUAACCCUGUUUCACAACCACCAGGGGAAACCUAACUGGCCCACAUACUACGCCUUCAAUCCUUCCACAGCACACAGCAAAAUGAAAACAAAUCCCUAGCACACUUCAGUAAGUACAGAGCAACAGCACUUCUUUCUUACAUUUUCUUCUUUCAUUCUGUUACAAGGAACACUCUGGUUGUUCUGCAUUUGAACUUGGGUACGUUUAAACUGAGUACUCCUUUAAAAAUCAUGCAAUGCAGUAAUUUCCACUGACAUUCAUAAUGCCUUCACUGUGGUCCCCACAUUAAACACCUCCUUCUCUCAAGGCAAGCACCCAGAAGGACAUCUGACCCACCUACACACUCAGUGGGAGAAACAUUUCUCUAUGUCCAGAGGGCUACUCUGACAUGAAGGUAGGAUUGUACCUCUCACACUGUCUCUACGAGAUGAUCAAUGCUCCUAAUUGAGCAACUUCCUAAACUCAGACAGAAGUAGAUGCUUACAUUUAAAGACCUAAAAUACACUUUAUUUGGGAUUUUUUACUGUACAGGUCUACAUCUGCUUAAGACAGAAGUGUCUGAUCUCUCUCAGGAGAGAUGUGACAUUCAUACCAGCUUUUUCCACAAUAACCUAACAACUCCAGCAGGUCUGCAGAAAUCAGAGGCUGGGGUUAAAUACUGUUUUCAAACUGAGAGGCUUUCACCACACUGCUCCCACACCCCAACCAUCUGUACACCAUUACUGUGGUAUCCUGCUGAGGCUGGCCUAGCACGAAAACACAAAUACAAGAAAAAUCAGAGAGCUAGGAGAGUGUACAUGAUGAAACCUGUCUAAUCAAAGGGAGACUCUUUUUCUUCUGUCCAUUAUUUUUGUUUUUAUUCAAAUACCAUCUAAAUUGUAACACACCAAAAGUUCCAUGAGAAAAGAACAUGAACUUCAGUUCUCUUGUUUGCCUGAGAGGAGCUUCAGGAACUUUGUACUUCUACUCAGAGGUUUUUGCUGCUUUAUUGGAAAUAUAUAAUACUUGAAAACAGGUUGGUGGCUCAGACUUGUUAACACCAAGCUGCUUAAAAUCCAUCUAAGCUAUUUAUGCAACAAUGUCCUCCCUGUUAAAUUGGUGGAAAGGUCCACAGCAGGGCUGUAGCACCAGCCAACUACCACUCUCCCCAAAAUUCUCAGACAUGAAUCAGGGCCCAUUCCCAAACAGCAAUCUGUUAAGGGAUGCUGGUGCUUGGGAGCUCUGCAGUAUGAAUAUGGACUGGUUUUAACAAGUUGGACUCAGCACAAGAGAAUGUACUGGACAUACAAAUUUCACUGGUAAAUAUGUACACCUCAAGUCUGAGCUCAAGUACAUUCAUCUGAGCACUGAGUAGCCAUCCCUCUCAAAGGGAUCAUGCAAAAAUGACCCUGUUCUGUUCCUUGAAUACUCAGAGUUUGAUCUGUUCAUUUUAGUAAGUAGAUUUAAGAAAAACAUGCUUUAUCAAUUCUGACUUCAGUUGGCAAUUCAGAGCCAGCAAAACAGGUGUGAGUUCCACGAGUUAAUGAUUCACUGGUUGAAUUGUUGAUGGACUUCAGCCUUCAUGAGGGAGAUUGGAAAAACCCAGUGCUUCAAAGGAUCUUAACAAAGAACUGGUAGAGAUGAACUGGACUAUCACACUGUCAGAAUGAGAGGAUUUAUCACUUUCCCAUGGUGAGUUCCCAACUUUAAGUGAAGAAGCUGGCAUCCUUCAGAGAUGCCACUAUUGUGCUCAGGAGACCUGCACUAACUAUCCCUGUGAAGUGGAAGGCUCUCAUCCCAGCAAUGGUCUGUUGCUGUUGCCUUGCACCAGUCACAAUGCCAGUGAAAGAAGAUGAAGAGAAGGAUGUACAUACUCUAAAGUCAGUGUACUAGCUUUGAGCAGUAGCCUGUGGGGAUCCUUCUGCAGCCUCAUUAUUGCAGACUUAAGAGCAUUGAGGAGCAGGAAUAAGCCUGCUGCACACAUUUUCCUCAGCUCCUUUACUUUCAUGAUCAGCAUCCACAGUGUCACAAUGGUCAGAGCAAAGGUAUCAGCAGGACUAGACUGAAGUAAAAAAAAAAAAAAAUCUCAGUGUACCUGCUACCACAGACUGUUUUCUUUCUCUGAUCUAAAACACUUCCCAUCAUCUGAGAACUACAAGAUUCACAUUUGGAGCA